This 459-nucleotide ribosomal RNA is filed under the name uncultured bacterium. RNAcentral describes it as "partial 16S ribosomal RNA". It matches the Rfam family "Bacterial small subunit ribosomal RNA", at positions 338 to 795 of the family's 1533-position model. The record is from RNAcentral.
CCUACGGGAGGCAGCAGUGAGGAAUAUUGGUCAAUGGGAGAGAUCCUGAACCAGCCAAGCCGCGUGAGGGAAGACUGCCCUAUGGGUUGUAAACCUCUUUUGUCGGAGAACAAAACCCGGGACGUGUCCCGGACUGCGUGUAUCCGAAGAAAAAGCAUCGGCUAACUCCGUGCCAGCAGCCGCGGUAAUACGGAGGAUGCGAGCGUUAUCCGGAUUUAUUGGGUUUAAAGGGGGCGUAGGCGGUCCGUUAAGUCAGCGGUAAAAUAGGCGGGCUCAACCCCGACUGGCCGUUGAAAAUGGCAGACUUGAGUAGGCGAGAAGUAGGCGGAAUGCGCGGUGUAGCGGUGAAAUGCAUAGAUAUCGCGAAGAACUCCGAUUGCGAAGGCAGCAUACCGGUGCAUAACUGACGCUCAUGCACGAAAGCGUGGGUAUCGAACAGGAUUAGAUACCCCGGUAGUC